AGUGUCAUGGGAUGGGACUCGAACCCACGACCUUCCGCUUACCGGGCAGAUGCCAUGACCACUAGGCCACAUGACC
This 76-nucleotide transfer RNA is filed under the name Cordylochernes scorpioides. Its description in RNAcentral is "tRNA-Thr". The record is from RNAcentral. Lineage: Eukaryota; Metazoa; Arthropoda; Arachnida; Pseudoscorpiones; Chernetidae.